UGGGGAAUAGCUUUCGAACUUUAUUCUCGGGGAUAUAUAGCAUGGGGUCAUAGUUUGGGAGAGAUAUGGUACUAUACGGUACUUCUCGUGGAGAAAUAGCUCGUCUUCCCUACUGAUAAAAAUAGACUUUCAUCUAACUUUGUUAUAUACAACUGGUUCAACUUGAUAAUUUUUUAAUGCUGGUUAAUUAUGCUAUUACAAACUAUGAGAAUAUUAUAGACGAUUCUAUAGUCGACAAUUCUAUCUGCCUUAUGAAGAUUCACGUUUGAUUGUAUCAUCUGAACCGUCCUGUCUGCCC
Molecule: long non-coding RNA, 298 nt
Filed under: Brassica napus (rape)
Lineage: Eukaryota; Viridiplantae; Streptophyta; Magnoliopsida; Brassicales; Brassicaceae
Description: long non-coding RNA (BNAP_LNC001262)
Source: RNAcentral